AUGCCACCGAGUACGACUACGUCACCGAUGACCCCUUCUUCUUGCCAGAGCAACCAGAAGGCAAUAAGCCAACAAGCGUCACAAAUCGUUGAUCUUCAAGAGAAUUUGAAAUCACAACAGAAAGAAACUUCCAAAGCCAAAGAUGAAUUGAAGACCGCCUUAACCACCAUGGAACAGCUUAAAGAAUGGUUUAAAUCUGAGCGAACCAGCUGGGAUACUGAAAAAACAGAUUUACUCAAACGUGUUGAGGAUGCCGAAGCAGCUCUUAAACCGGUGAUGGAAGAGCUUACUGGAUUAGCGCCAAAUCAACUCCAUGACUUCAGCUGUAUUUGGCAGGCGCAUUGCUCAUCUGGGCUCUGA
Molecule: ribosomal RNA, 360 nt
Filed under: Triticum aestivum (bread wheat)
Lineage: Eukaryota; Viridiplantae; Streptophyta; Magnoliopsida; Poales; Poaceae
Description: partial small subunit ribosomal RNA
Source: RNAcentral